Molecule: long non-coding RNA, 2783 nt
Organism: Nerophis lumbriciformis (worm pipefish)
Lineage: Eukaryota; Metazoa; Chordata; Actinopteri; Syngnathiformes; Syngnathidae
Source: RefSeq, a predicted model, not a curated record
GCCAAUGAAGCCAGGAAGUCCAGGAGGCCCAGGAGCUCCAGAAUGCCCUGGUUUGCCAAAACGUCCAGGAGGACCUGGGGGCCCGACGAUGCCCGGGGGUAUAUCAAUGCCUGGAUACCCAGGAUUUCCAACAGGACCUUGUGCCCCCUUGUUUCCUGGUGACUGCUAAAACAGUACCUGGCUCUCCAGCAUAACUGAAUCCUUCAAGACCGUCGUCUCCAGUAUCUCCAACAAAACCUGGUGGUCCUAAAGCAGGAAGAAAAGAUGUCAGUUAUUAUUGUUAAACAAGAUAAAUAUGCACCAGUACCCGGUCGCCCAGGUGGUCCAGGAAGUGCAGACUGUCCUUUUACUCCUUUAGGUCCAUCAGGUCCAGUGAUUCCAUUGAAUCCAGGAAGACCAGGAAGGCCUCUGAGGCCUGGACAGAUGGACAGGAAGUCAAACACAGAGUUGAACAAGAACUAGAUGGUGGACGAUUGAUUGUGUUCACCUCUAUCUCCGGUCUCUCCCUUCUCUCCUGGUGGUCCAGGGUUUCUAGGUACACAAGGUAGAGUUUCACCUAUGGACAGGUGUGUCUUCAGUCAAUUUUGCUUUGCUUGUUUAUAAAGUUUACGACUUUGAUAUAUAGUUUCACCAUAUUGAUCUUUACCUGGAACACCUUUCCGGCCAGGGGGGCCGGGAAAACCUGGGGGCCCAAGAGCACCCGGGUUUCCCUGCUGUCCUAUUGCGCCAACCAAACCUGAUCCUUGGGGGCCGGUCGGUCCUGUUAGUCCUUUGGGACCAGAGGGACCUGGAAAACCUUGUUCCCCAGGAAAACUGAGGUAACUUUCUCCCUGAAAACAAAUGUCACAUAAGCAUGAAGAAUCAAAUAGCAAAAGUCACAAGUGUCUAUUGGAGAGGACGGAUUUCUUGACUGGUCUACAGGCGGUUGAACAAGAUUUUCUCAUAGUGAAUUAGAGCUGUGAGUGGCCAAUUCACCUUUGGUCCAGAGUAUCCGGGAAGUCCUGGUAGCCCAUCCUGACCUCUUCUUCCUAAGAAACCUUGUCUUCCUGCAAGACCCGGCUUACCUCUUUCCCCCUUCUCGCCUGGAGACAAAUGUGUGGUUAAGCACUGACUUCAUCUAGGUCUAUACGAACUUUGUUUUCCAAGGUCGCACAAUGUAGAAUUGCAUUAAGUCAACAUGGAUGACCUUGCCUUUAAUAUCCACCACAGUGAAGUCUCCUUUCUGACCUUUGAACCCUUUGACGCCUGGUAAGCCACCCAAACCCUGCAACCAAAUCAAUCAAUGAAUGAAUGAAUCAAUCAAUCACCACAUAAUCUCUAAAAGAGUUUAAUAUGGUUAUGGUUCUAUAAUACAUUUCUAUAGAAUUAUUAGAUAAAUGACACAGUCACAAGUGCAAUGUAAUCUUUUUUGUACUAAAUAAAACUCUGUUACACCAAAGACCUACACAGACCAGUAUGGAAAUUGCCCGGGUACUUUCCUGUGGAAAGUCCACCACUAGUUCCUUGAAACUUUGGAACCUUGACCUUAAUGGCCAAUGUGAUUUAUUACCUGUUGUCCAUUCCUUCCAUUGUCUCCUGGUAAGCCUUUCUCCCCUCCAGGCCCCUGAAAUCCAGGAGGUCCUUGAUACCCCAACAAUCCAGGUUCACCUGCUAAACCCUGGGUACCCCUCACUACAAUUGGAGGACCACAGGAACAUUCCCCUUGACGACCUGAAUAUAAGCACAUUAAAGUUAUAUCUGACUCCAGAGUCAACUGUUAUCUAAUUACAAAGUACAGUCGUUCCCCGCCUACUCAUAGGUCAACAUUCACUCUCCACAUAUUUACAGAUUUCUGAGAUGUCUGGAAAUGUAACCCCUACAGAAGCGUGUUCCAUUAGUCCCCUAGUGCGUAUCAAUCAUAAUGAAUUUUUAUUUUUAUUUUGGUCAAAAUACUGACCUUUGAAUCCUUGGAACCCUGGGGAUCCUGGCACUCCUUGUUCACCAGGUUCUCCAGACACUCCUGGGGCUCCGGGAAGACAGUAAUAGCCUACAGAGAAAAUAGAAAAGUUAGCAUGACAAAAAACAUUAAAAAGUGUUCGAUUCACAAGGGUAUACCUGGCCUUCCAGGCAGUCCUUUUGGUCCUCUGGGUCCUGGGAGUCCAGGUGUUCCAGGUUCCCCAGGUACUGUUUGAAAUGUGUAAAUCUGACCGAGAUCUCCUUUGUCACCACGGGCACCUGGACUUCCCCUCGUUCCCACCACACCUGGCAGUCCUGGUGCCAACACAAACUUAGUUCAGUAAAAGUCUCGAAAGGAGACUCUGCAAGACACUCCCCCCGAUGGCCACACAGGAGACUUUAGAACCUUAAAUAACACAGGACAGGAUGUAGCAUAGCUUUGCUCUGACCAGGUAUGGCUCUUCCAGGGAGCCCUCGGGCCCCGUGAGUUCCCAUUAAGCCACGAUCUCCUGGAGGACCCGUCGGUCCUGGAGUUCCCGGAUCUCCAGCAUCACCUUAAAAACAAGCAGCUGCCAAAAUGUUGCAUGGGAAAAUGCGAGCUCAACACAGUGUCGAUAUUUACCUAAAUGGGUAAUAACAUCAUCCCGGGGGACACCUUUGAAACCGGGACUUCCCGUCAUGCCCUGAGAACACACCAGCUGGCCCACGGCAACCAACUGGUGACAACAAAGUCCGGAUCACAAAACCAACCUUUGGGCCUUCUCGUCCGAUCAGUCCUGGAAGACCUGGACUUCCCACGGUCCCCUGUAACACAGUUACACACGUCAUUGGUGGCACGAGUCCUGCAC